AUAAUUUUAAGUUACUAAAACUAUUAACCUUCAAAGUUAAAAUUAUAUUUAUAAUAAAAUAUAAAUUAUA
Molecule: transfer RNA, 70 nt
Filed under: Parnips nigripes
Lineage: Eukaryota; Metazoa; Arthropoda; Insecta; Hymenoptera; Figitidae
Description: tRNA-Trp
Source: RNAcentral